UUUUUGCGUUAACGAUUGAAGCGGCAUCCUUUUUUCUUUUCAGAAAAAAGAUAUAGCGAAAAGCGUGUUAAAAC
This 74-nucleotide small RNA is filed under the name Pedobacter psychrophilus. RNAcentral describes it as "Pedobacter sp. CCM 8644 Flavo-1 RNA". It matches the Rfam family "Flavo-1 RNA". Lineage: Bacteria; Pseudomonadati; Bacteroidota; Sphingobacteriia; Sphingobacteriales; Sphingobacteriaceae. The record is from Rfam by way of RNAcentral.